UUUCAAAGAUAAUAUUUAGCGCAGAAUAAUUAUUGGAACGUGUUUACACCGCGCCUGCUUCCUCCCUGCUGUCCUGUCGAUCUGCUAAGAUGGAGGGAGAAAGGUACCAGCCAGUCUGGCCACCACACUCAAAUCGACAACCACGCUGUCGUCACUGUAGAGAAAUUCAAUCAACAUGACCCAUUCUCCCCUGAGACUCCUCCAGAAGCAAGGAACUGCCAGUCCAGUACAUCACAGGAGGCAUUGCUAUUGGGCUGCAAAAAAAAUUCACCCUUCAGGAAGAUAUUUGACCACAGGU
Molecule: long non-coding RNA, 298 nt
Organism: Scylla paramamosain (green mud crab)
Lineage: Eukaryota; Metazoa; Arthropoda; Malacostraca; Decapoda; Portunidae
Exons: 3
Source: RefSeq, a predicted model, not a curated record